Non-coding RNA from Rattus norvegicus (Norway rat), 320 nucleotides. Lineage: Eukaryota; Metazoa; Chordata; Mammalia; Rodentia; Muridae. The record is from RefSeq and is a predicted model, not a curated record.
GACUCAGGUGUUUGUCACAGAAGAGAUAUGAGGGUCUCUAAGCAUAGCCAGCUUGGCAAUAACAGAGUCUCUUUCAACUUCAUAUCUAUAAGUUGGAAAUUCUCCAUUGUCUAUUAAAUCACCAUCUAGGGAGUGCAACCCCAGGAACUCAGGAGAGGCAGCACUGUCCAUAGCUUCCUGUCUGCCUCCUUUCCCCACACCGACUGCCAUGACUUGAGUGGCUCUGCCAUGUUUUCCCCUCCAUGAGGACCUGAAAUCCCUCCGACUAGUGAGCCCACGUGACUCACCAUGGUUAUGGCCGUGGUCACAGCAGCACAAAG